UUAACUAUUUGCUUUUUACUUCAGGCUGCAUCGUUGUUCAGGGUUUUAGUUCGGCAGGGGCCCCGUUUAGUGGGCCCCCUUCGCGCCAAAGGUGAGGCGAUAGACGAAGGGUUGGUGUCGAGCGCCGAAGCGCCCUGUGACCCAGUAAUGAUCCUUCCGCAGGUUCACCUACGGAAA
Molecule: unclassified non-coding RNA, 177 nt
Filed under: uncultured fungus
Lineage: Eukaryota; Fungi
Description: sequence contains ITS1
Source: RNAcentral